GCUUUAUAGAAUUGAUUUAACUUAUAAUAGAACUAGUAUAUUAGCGCACUGCCGCUAAAAAAGUUAGUCUGAUCAUAAUAUAUUUUCGCCAACACCAGGGGACUUUUAGUCCACCCGUCUCAGCUUUACCCCGCCAUCUGGGUGCUUUUACAUUCAGGUGGCGAUUA
This 167-nucleotide small RNA is filed under the name Yersinia rohdei ATCC 43380. RNAcentral describes it as "Yersinia YenS sRNA". It matches the Rfam family "Yersinia YenS sRNA". The record is from Rfam by way of RNAcentral. Lineage: Bacteria; Pseudomonadati; Pseudomonadota; Gammaproteobacteria; Enterobacterales; Yersiniaceae.